Molecule: ribosomal RNA, 260 nt
Filed under: uncultured bacterium
Lineage: Bacteria
Description: partial 16S ribosomal RNA
Rfam family: Bacterial small subunit ribosomal RNA
Source: RNAcentral
UGCGAGCGUUAAUCGGAAUUACUGGGCGUAAAGCGCAUGCAGGUGGUUUGUUAAGUCAGAUGUGAAAGCCCGGGGCUCAACCUCGGAAUUGCAUUUGAAACUGGCAAACUAGAGUACUGUAGAGGGGGUAGAAUUUCAGGUGUAGCGGUGAAAUGCGUAGAGAUCUGAAGGAAUACCGGUGGCGAAGGCGGCCCCCUGGACAGAUACUGACACUCAGAUGCGAAAGCGUGGGGAGCAAACAGGAUUAGAUACCCUGGUAG